AAUCCUCCCACAGUGAUACAUCCCUGAACUAGAACCUCUCCUCUGGCUGGGUGAGCAGCCUUCAUGUGAUGCUGGUCUGGGAAGCAGCAGAGAAGAUUGUCUGAAUGAGCUGAGGAGGAAGAUAUUGUGAUCAAUAAGACUGGGUGGAUAUGAAAAGCAUAUGAUAAUUUGAUGACUUGGAAACUACAAAGAGCAGGAGAAAAUCAUGAAAGGAUAAGACCAGGAGACUUUAGGACAUUUGCAUAUUGCUCCUUAGAGAGGAGCUCCCUUGCAAGUACAACAUAAAAGCUCAGCUCUAAGCUUGCUUGGACUGACCAGCAUUGCUUACUCUCAAAAUGAGGUGCCCUGUUCAGCUCCUGGGGAUGCUUAUGCUCUGGGUAUCAGGAUCCAGUGGAGAUGCUAUAUUGACUCAGACUCCACUCUCUCUGCCUGUCACCCUGGGAGAACCAGUCUCCAUCUCCUGUAGGUCGAGUCAGAGUCUCUUAUAUAGUGAUGGAAACACCUAUUUGUACUGGUUCCUACAGAAGCCAGGCCAGUCUCCACAAGCCCUAAUCUAUUUGGUUUCCAACCAAUAUUCUGGGGUCCCAGACAGAUUCAGUGGCAGUGGGUCAGGCACAGAUUUCACAUUGAAAAUCAGCAGUGUGGAGGCUGAGGAUGUUGGUGUUUCUUACUGCUUUCAACAUACACAUGUUCCUCCUACACUGAUACAGCCCUGAACAAAAACCACCAUGACUGGUGUAGCAGAACUGUCACAUGUAGCCGUUUUUAGGAGCAGCACAACAGCUUUUCUGAGUGAAUGUGAGAGCAAGAAGCUAGAGAAGUCAGGAUACUAAGUCACUGUUGUGCUCUCUGAGCCAAGCAUU
Dipodomys ordii (Ord's kangaroo rat) is the source of this 863-nucleotide non-coding RNA. The record is from the annotation of a RefSeq genome assembly. Lineage: Eukaryota; Metazoa; Chordata; Mammalia; Rodentia; Heteromyidae.